GUAUUUGGUCGUAGACCCGAAACCAGGUGAUCUACCCUUGGUCAGGUUGAAGUUCAGGUAACACUGAAUGGAGGACCGAACCGACUUACGUUGAAAAGUGAGCGGAUGAACUGAGGGUAGCGGAGAAAUUCCAAUCGAACCUGGAGAUAGCUGGUUCUCUCCGAAAUAGCUUUAGGGCUAGCCUCAAGUGAUGAUUAUUGGAGGUAGAGCACUGUUUGGACGAGGGGCCCCUCUCGGGUUACCGAAUUCAGACAAACUCCGAAUGCCAAUUAAUUUAACUUGGGAGUCAGAACAUGGGUGAUAAGGUCCGUGUUCGAAAGGGAAACAGCCCAGACCACCAGCUAAGGUCCCAAAAUAUAUGUUAAGUGGAAAAGGAUGUGGCGUUGCCCAGACAACUAGGAUGUUGGCUUAGAAGCAGCCAUCAUUUAAAGAGUGCGUAAUAGCUCACUAGUCGAGUGACACUGCGCCGAAAAUGUACCGGGGCUAAACAUAUUACCGAAGCUGUGGAUUGUCCUUUGGACAAUGGUAGGAGAGCGUUCUAAGGGCGUUGAAGCAUGAUCGUAAGGACAUGUGGAGCGCUUAGAAGUGAGAAUGCCGGUGUGAGUAGCGAAAGACGGGUGAGAAUCCCGUCCACCGAUUGACUAAGGUUUCCAGAGGAAGGCUCGUCCGCUCUGGGUUAGUCGGGUCCUAAGCUGAGGCCGACAGGCGUAGGCGAUGGAUAACAGGUUGAUAUUCCUGUACCACCUAUAAUCGUUUUAAUCGAUGGGGGGACGCAGUAGGAUAGGCGAAGCGUGCGAUUGGAUUGCACGUCUAAGCAGUAAGGCUGAGUAUUAGGCAAAUCCGGUACUCGUUAAGGCUGAGCUGUGAUGGGGAGAAGACAUUGUGUCUUCGAGUCGUUGAUUUCACACUGCCGAGAAAAGCCUCUAGAUAGAAAAUAGGUGCCCGUACCGCAAACCGACACAGGUAGUCAAGAUGAGAAUUCUAAGGUGAGCGAGCGAACUCUCGUUAAGGAACUCGGCAAAAUGACCCCGUAACUUCGGGAGAAGGGGUGCUCUUUAGGGUUAACGCCCAGAAGAGCCGCAGUGAAUAGGCCCAAGCGACUGUUUAUCAAAAACACAGGUCUCUGCUAAACCGUAAGGUGAUGUAUAGGGGCUGACGCCUGCCCGGUGCUGGAAGGUUAAGAGGAGUGGUUAGCUUCUGCGAAGCUACGAAUCGAAGCCCCAGUAAACGGCGGCCGUAACUAUAACGGUCCUAAGGUAGCGAAAUUCCUUGUCGGGUAAGUUCCGACCCGCACGAAAGGCGUAACGAUUUGGGCACUGUCUCAACGAGAGACUCGGUGAAAUCAUAGUACCUGUGAAGAUGCAGGUUACCCGCGACAGGACGGAAAGACCCCGUGGAGCUUUACUGUAGCCUGAUAUUGAAAUUCGGCACAGCUUGUACAGGAUAGGUAGGAGCCUUUGAAACGUGAGCGCUAGCUUACGUGGAGGCGCUGGUGGGAUACUACCCUAGCUGUGUUGGCUUUCUAACCCGCACCACUUAUCGUGGUGGGAGACAGUGUCAGGCGGGCAGUUUGACUGGGGCGGUCGCCUCCUAAAAGGUAACGGAGGCGCUCAAAGGUUCCCUCAGAAUGGUUGGAAAUCAUUCAUAGAGUGUAAAGGCAUAAGGGAGCUUGACUGCGAGACCUACAAGUCGAGCAGGGUCGAAAGACGGACUUAGUGAUCCGGUGGUUCCGCAUGGAAGGGCCAUCGCUCAACGGAUAAAAGCUACCCCGGGGAUAACAGGCUUAUCUCCCCCAAGAGUUCACAUCGACGGGGAGGUUUGGCACCUCGAUGUCGGCUCAUCGCAUCCUGGGGCUGUAGUCGGUCCCAAGGGUUGGGCUGUUCGCCCAUUAAAGCGGUACGCGAGCUGGGUUCAGAACGUCGUGAGACAGUUCGGUCCCUAUCCGUCGUGGGCGUAGGAAAUUUGAGAGGAGCUGUCCUUAGUACGAGAGGACCGGGAUGGACAUACCUCUGGUGUACCAGUUGUCGUGCCAACGGCAUAGCUGGGUAGCUAUGUGUGGACGGGAUAAGUGCUGAAAGCAUCUAAGCAUGAAGCCCCCCUCAAGAUGAGAUUUCCCAACUUCGGUUAUAAGAUCCCUCAAAGAUGAUGAGGUUAAUAGGUUCGAGGUGGAAGCAUGGUGACAUGUGGAGCUGACGAAUACUAAUCGAUCGAAGACUUAAUCAA
Molecule: ribosomal RNA, 2223 nt
Filed under: Staphylococcus aureus
Lineage: Bacteria; Bacillati; Bacillota; Bacilli; Caryophanales; Staphylococcaceae
Description: partial 23S ribosomal RNA
Rfam family: Bacterial large subunit ribosomal RNA
Source: RNAcentral